Molecule: ribosomal RNA, 851 nt
Filed under: Microbacterium sp.
Lineage: Bacteria; Bacillati; Actinomycetota; Actinomycetes; Micrococcales; Microbacteriaceae
Description: bacterial SSU rRNA
Rfam family: Bacterial small subunit ribosomal RNA
Source: RNAcentral
AACGAUGAAGCACCAGCUUGCUGGUGUGGAUUAGUGGCGAACGGGUGAGUAACACGUGAGCAACCUGCCCCGGACUUUGGGAUAAGCGCUGGAAACGGCGUCUAAUACCGAAUAUGCACCAUGAAGGCAUCUUCAAUGGUGGGAAAGAUUUAUCGGUCCGGGAGGGGCUCGCGGCCUAUCAGCUUGUUGGUGAGGUAAUGGCUCACCAAGGCGUCGACGGGUAGCCGGCCUGAGAGGGUGACCGGCCACACUGGGACUGAGACACGGCCCAGACUCCUACGGGAGGCAGCAGUGGGGAAUAUUGCACAAUGGGCGCAAGCCUGAUGCAGCAACGCCGCGUGGGGGAUGACGGCCUUCGGGUUGUAAACCCCUUUUAGUAGGGAAGAAGCCUUCGGGUGACGGUACCUGCAGAAAAAGCGCCGGCUAACUACGUGCCAGCAGCCGCGGUAAUACGUAGGGCGCAAGCGUUAUCCGGAAUUAUUGGGCGUAAAGAGCUCGUAGGCGGCUUGUCGCGUCUGCUGUGAAAACUGGAGGCUCAACUUCCAGCGUGCAGUGGGUACGGGCAGGCUAGAGUGCGGUAGGGGAGAUUGGAAUUCCUGGUGUAGCGGUGGAAUGCGCAGAUAUCAGGAGGAACACCGAUGGCGAAGGCAGAUCUCUGGGCCGUAACUGACGCUGAGGAGCGAAAGAGUGGGGAGCGAACAGGCUUAGAUACCCUGGUAGUCCACUCCGUAAACGUUGGGAACUAGUUGUGGGGGCCUUUCCACGGUCUCCGUGACGCAGCUAACGCAUUAAGUUCCCCGCCUGGGGAGUACGGGCCGCAAGGCUAAAACUCAAAGGAAUUGACGGGGACC